This 260-nucleotide ribosomal RNA is filed under the name uncultured Staphylococcus sp. RNAcentral's name for it is "partial 16S ribosomal RNA". It matches the Rfam family "Bacterial small subunit ribosomal RNA", at positions 100 to 355 of the family's 1533-position model. Lineage: Bacteria; Bacillati; Bacillota; Bacilli; Caryophanales; Staphylococcaceae. The record is from RNAcentral.
CGGGGUGAGUAACACGUGGAUAACCUACCUAUAAGACUGGGAUAACUUCGGGAAACCGGAGCUAAUACCGGAUAAUAUUUUGAACCGCAUGGUUCAAAAGUGAAAGACGGUCUUGCUGUCACUUAUAGAUGGAUCCGCGCUGCAUUAGCUAGUUGGUAAGGUAACGGCUUACCAAGGCAACGAUGCAUAGCCGACCUGAGAGGGUGAUCGGCCACACUGGAACUGAGACACGGUCCAGACUCCUACGGGAGGCAGCAGCC